Lachnoclostridium sp. YL32 is the source of this 151-nucleotide non-coding RNA. The record is from Rfam. NCBI's taxonomy places the organism in Bacteria, Bacillati, Bacillota, Clostridia, Lachnospirales, Lachnospiraceae.
AAAAGCAGAGAUAAAAACACAACGCGGGAUCAAAGCCUGCAGAGCCGGUAGGUAGUCCGGCCGCAUUCCCAUAGUCCUGCCUGAAACGGCGGGGUAACAGGAAUGUAAGUAACCCUCCCUCCUUGGGUCGUCCGUUCUUUGUUCAUCACAU